Molecule: ribosomal RNA, 1430 nt
Filed under: Enterococcus durans
Lineage: Bacteria; Bacillati; Bacillota; Bacilli; Lactobacillales; Enterococcaceae
Description: bacterial SSU rRNA
Rfam family: Bacterial small subunit ribosomal RNA
Source: RNAcentral
UGCAAGUCGUACGCUUCUUUUUCCACCGGAGCUUGCUCCACCGGAAAAAGAAGAGUGGCGAACGGGUGAGUAACACGUGGGUAACCUGCCCAUCAGAAGGGGAUAACACUUGGAAACAGGUGCUAAUACCGUAUAACAAUCGAAACCGCAUGGUUUUGAUUUGAAAGGCGCUUUCGGGUGUCGCUGAUGGAUGGACCCGCGGUGCAUUAGCUAGUUGGUGAGGUAACGGCUCACCAAGGCCACGAUGCAUAGCCGACCUGAGAGGGUGAUCGGCCACAUUGGGACUGAGACACGGCCCAAACUCCUACGGGAGGCAGCAGUAGGGAAUCUUCGGCAAUGGACGAAAGUCUGACCGAGCAACGCCGCGUGAGUGAAGAAGGUUUUCGGAUCGUAAAACUCUGUUGUUAGAGAAGAACAAGGAUGAGAGUAACUGUUCAUCCCUUGACGGUAUCUAACCAGAAAGCCACGGCUAACUACGUGCCAGCAGCCGCGGUAAUACGUAGGUGGCAAGCGUUGUCCGGAUUUAUUGGGCGUAAAGCGAGCGCAGGCGGUUUCUUAAGUCUGAUGUGAAAGCCCCCGGCUCAACCGGGGAGGGUCAUUGGAAACUGGGAGACUUGAGUGCAAAACAGGAGAGUGGAAUUCCAUGUGUAGCGGUGAAAUGCGUAGAUAUAUGGAGGAACACCAGUGGCGAAGGCGGCUCUCUGGUCUGUAACUGACGCUGAGGCUCGAAAGCGUGGGGAGCAAACAGGAUUAGAUACCCUGGUAGUCCACGCCGUAAACGAUGAGUGCUAAGUGUUGGAGGGUUUCCGCCCUUCAGUGCUGCAGCUAACGCAUUAAGCACUCCGCCUGGGGAGUACGACCGCAAGGUUGAAACUCAAAGGAAUUGACGGGGGCCCGCACAAGCGGUGGAGCAUGUGGUUUAAUUCGAAGCAACGCGAAGAACCUUACCAGGUCUUGACAUCCUUUGACCACUCUAGAGAUAGAGCUUCCCCUUCGGGGGCAAAGUGACAGGUGGUGCAUGGUUGUCGUCAGCUCGUGUCGUGAGAUGUUGGGUUAAGUCCCGCAACGAGCGCAACCCUUAUUGUUAGUUGCCAUCAUUCAGUUGGGCACUCUAGCAAGACUGCCGGUGACAAACCGGAGGAAGGUGGGGAUGACGUCAAAUCAUCAUGCCCCUUAUGACCUGGGCUACACACGUGCUACAAUGGGAAGUACAACGAGUCGCGAAGUCGCGAGGCUAAGCUAAUCUCUUAAAGCUUCUCUCAGUUCGGAUUGUAGGCUGCAACUCGCCUACAUGAAGCCGGAAUCGCUAGUAAUCGCGGAUCAGCACGCCGCGGUGAAUACGUUCCCGGGCCUUGUACACACCGCCCGUCACACCACGAGAGUUUGUAACACCCGAAGUCGGUGAGGUAACCUUUUGGAGCCAGCCGCCU